AGGUCCGUAGCGCAACUGGAAGCGCACCCGGCUCUUACCCGGGGCGGUGAGGGUUCGAUCCCCUCCGGACCUA
RNAcentral lists this transfer RNA (73 nucleotides) under Labilithrix sp. RNAcentral describes it as "tRNA-Lys". It matches the Rfam family "tRNA". From Rfam's summary of the family: Transfer RNA (tRNA) molecules are approximately 80 nucleotides in length. Their secondary structure includes four short double-helical elements and three loops (D, anti-codon, and T loops). The record is from RNAcentral. Lineage: Bacteria; Pseudomonadati; Myxococcota; Polyangiales; Labilitrichaceae.